Molecule: ribosomal RNA, 508 nt
Filed under: uncultured bacterium
Lineage: Bacteria
Description: partial 16S ribosomal RNA
Rfam family: Bacterial small subunit ribosomal RNA
Source: RNAcentral
AUUGAACGCUGGCGGCAUGCCUUACACAUGCAAGUCGAACGGCAGCGGGGGAGAAGCUUGCUUUUCCUGCCGGCGAGUGGCGAACGGGUGAGUAAUACAUCGGAACGUGCCCUGUAGUGGGGGAUAACUAGUCGAAAGAUUAGCUAAUACCGCAUACGACCUGAGGGUGAAAGUGGGGGACCGCAGGGCCUCAUGCUAUAGGAGCGGCCGAUGUCUGAUUAGCUAGUUGGUGGGGUAAAGGCCUACCAAGGCGACGAUCAGUAGCUGGUCUGAGAGGACGAUCAGCCACACUGGGACUGAGACACGGCCCAGACUCCUACGGGAGGCAGCAGUGGGGAAUUUUGGACAAUGGGCGAAAGCCUGAUCCAGCAAUGCCGCGUGUGUGAAGAAGGCCUUCGGGUUGUAAAGCACUUUUGUCCGGAAAGAAAUCGCACAGGCUAAUACUCUGUGUGGAUGACGGUACCGGCAUAAGAAGCACCGGCUAACUACGUGCCAGCCGCCGCCGUAA